GUGGGGAAUUUUGGACAAUGGGCGCAAGCCUGAUCCAGCAAUGCCGCGUGCAGGAAGAAGGCCUUCGGGUUGUAAACUGCUUUUGUACGGAACGAAACGGUCCUGGUUAAUACCUGGGGCUAAUGACGGUACCUGCAGAAUAAGCACCGGCUAACUACGUGCCAGCAGCCGCGGUAAGACGUAGGGUGCAAGCGUUAAUCGGAAUUACUGGGCGUAAAGCGUGCGCAGGCGGUUUUGUAAGACAGGUGUGAAAUCCCCGGGCUCAACCUGGGAACUGCACUUGUGACUGCAAGGCUAGAGUGUGUCAGAGGGAGGUGGAAUUCCGCGUGUAGCAGUGAAAUGCGUAGAGAUGCGGAGGAACACCGAUGGCGAAGGCAGCCUCCUGGGAUAACACUGACGCUCAGGCACGAAAGCGUGGGGAGCAAACAGGAUUAGAAACCCGGGUAGUCC
This 450-nucleotide ribosomal RNA is filed under the name uncultured bacterium. RNAcentral's name for it is "partial 16S ribosomal RNA". It matches the Rfam family "Bacterial small subunit ribosomal RNA", at positions 354 to 796 of the family's 1533-position model. The record is from RNAcentral.